UGCCCCGAGACGUAUAAAAUCUUCCACAAUGGACGAAAGUCUGAUGGAGCAACGCCGCGUGAGUGAUGAAGGUUUUCGGAUCGUAAAACUCUGUUGUUAAAGAAGAACAAGUGUUAGAGUAACUGUUAACACUUUGACGGUAUUUAACCAGAAAGCCACGGCUAACUACGUGCCAGCAGCCGCGGUAAUACGUAGGUGGCAAGCGUUGUCCGGAUUUAUUGGGCGUAAAGCGAGCGCAGGCGGUUUUGUAAGUCUGCUGUGAAAGCCCUCAGCUCAACUGAGGAAGUGCAGUGGAAACUACAAAACUUGAGUACAGAAGAGGAAAGUGGAACUCCAUGUGUAGCGGUGAAAUGCGUAGAUAUAUGGAAGAACACCAGUGGCGAAGGCGGCUUUCUGGUCUGUUACUGACGCUGAGGCUCGAAAGCAUGGGUAGCGAACAGGAUUAGAUACCCUGGUAGUCCAUGCCGUAAACGAUGAAUACUAGGUGUUGGAGGGUUUCCGCCCUUCAGUGCCGCAGCUAACGCAUUAAGUAUUCCGCCUGGGGAGUACGACCGCAAGGUUGAAACUCAAAGGAAUUGACGGGGGCCCGCACAAGUGGUGGAGCAUGUGGUUUAAUUCGAUGCUACGCGAAGAACCUUACCAGCUCUUGACAUCUUCUGCCAACCCAAGAGAUUGGGCGUUCCCUUCGGGGACAGAAUGACAGGUGGUGCAUGGUGUCUCCCUUCUUAUU
Molecule: ribosomal RNA, 730 nt
Filed under: Apilactobacillus kunkeei
Lineage: Bacteria; Bacillati; Bacillota; Bacilli; Lactobacillales; Lactobacillaceae
Description: bacterial SSU rRNA
Rfam family: Bacterial small subunit ribosomal RNA
Source: RNAcentral